Non-coding RNA from Picea glauca (white spruce), 123 nucleotides. The record is from Rfam. Lineage: Eukaryota; Viridiplantae; Streptophyta; Pinopsida; Pinales; Pinaceae.
AUGUAGAUGCCUACAACAUAGUGUUAAUGCACUGGAUCCCAUUAGAAAUCCACAGUUAAGCACGCUCAGGCUAGAGUACUGAUGGGAUGGGUGACCGCCCGUGAAGUCUUAGUGUUUUACAUG